Non-coding RNA from Drosophila suzukii, 611 nucleotides. NCBI's taxonomy places the organism in Eukaryota, Metazoa, Arthropoda, Insecta, Diptera, Drosophilidae. The record is from RefSeq and is a predicted model, not a curated record.
UAAAACGGAACACGAGCCAGUCUCAAAAUCCCCCCUUUUGUUGGGUGAGUUCUUUGCUCAGUUUUAUUAAAUAUGAUUUUGAUUCGACUUCUCAGCUACUCGACACCCCAGACAUAAAGCGUCACAUGAACUUAAUGUCUGCAAUUGGAUGCCCACAGUUAUCGCUCGGAAAGUGAAAACUGAUUAAAUUCAGUGUGAAUACAGCAACCCAUUCGAUUAGAUUUCCAUUUGAAGUGCACUUGACCAACUCCAGGGAGGAUGGGAAGUCACAUUGCCUACGUCAGCGCCACUAAAAUGAGUAAUAAUCACGCGCUGGUCGGCCAAAUUUCUGGGUCGAGGAAAAGCUGCUGCAAAUGAAUAUUUGAAAUAUGCAAAGCUCGGCGGGGGAAGUUCAUGCAUCUUAAUUGGCAGACGGCCAAAUAAAAAACGAUUUUCCUCUGCCGGCCGUCGUUGGUAAAUAUUUUCAGUUAAUUUUGUUGCGGGCGUCGCGUCAGAAAUUCUUGAAUCGAAAUAUUCGGAUGGGAGAACAAGGACGGAUCUACAGAUCCUGACCACAAGUUAGGAACCAGUUACCAGGCCAAGAUCUUGAUUACUCAGCCCAGUAUUUAUAG